Homo sapiens (human) is the source of this 577-nucleotide long non-coding RNA. The record is from Ensembl. NCBI's taxonomy places the organism in Eukaryota, Metazoa, Chordata, Mammalia, Primates, Hominidae.
GGAGCAGAAAACAAACCCACUAGCAGGACCAAAAGGCAGACCCAUCAGCAGAACACAGGCGGCAGCUUCCACAAGUAACUCCAAAACUGAAAGUCAAAUCCAGGAGAAGACUGAGGAAGCUCCAUUUUCUUUGAGGUACAUCAACAUCAAUAACAGAUCAAUGGACCCACUUAAUGGAGCUCUUAAUUGAGUAGAAAAAAAUAUUUAAGAGUUUUGCCGCUCUACGGCAGGAAAGCUAAUUUUCCUAAACUGAAAUAUCCUUCACUUCCCUUGGGGAAAAAUUUUCAUGAGGACUAAGGUAAUGGGAAAACCUGUUGCUUAGAACUUUUAACUUGGCCUUGAAGAUGGAAACUCAUCCAGGAUGGAGAAUAAUGUAGGGAGACUAGUUAAAAAUAGACAUGGACCAGUUUACUUUCCUGCUUAUUUACAAGAUGCCUUAUUUAAAUGACACUUUGAUCCAACAUCUUACUAAACAAGUGACAACAGGAAAAAAUAAGAGGCAGUUGGUGCACCUGGAGAUGUGAUAUUGAGCCCAGUCAGGAGGCCUGAGGUUCUAAUAAAAUUUCCUUAGAUAAAA